ACGCACGCUGGCGGCGUGCUUAACACAUGCAAGUCGAACGGAAAGGCCCUGCUUUUGUGGGGUGCUCGAGUGGCGAACGGGUGAGUAACACGUGAGUAACCUGCCCUUGACUUUGGGAUAACUUCAGGAAACUGGGGCUAAUACCGGAUAGGAGCCCCUGCUGCAUGGUGGGGGUUGGAAAGUUUCGGCGGUUGGGGAUGGACUCGCGGCUUAUCAGCUUGUUGGUGGGGUAGUGGCUUACCAAGGCUUUGACGGGUAGCCGGCCUGAGAGGGUGACCGGCCACAUUGGGACUGAGAUACGGCCCAGACUCCUACGGGAGGCAGCAGUGGGGAAUAUUGCACAAUGGGCGGAAGCCUGAUGCAGCAACGCCGCGUGCGGGAUGACGGCCUUCGGGUUGUAAACCGCUUUCGCCUGUGACGAAGCGUGAGUGACGGUAAUGGGUAAAGAAGCACCGGCUAACUACGUG
Molecule: ribosomal RNA, 467 nt
Filed under: uncultured bacterium
Lineage: Bacteria
Description: partial 16S ribosomal RNA
Rfam family: Bacterial small subunit ribosomal RNA
Source: RNAcentral